Molecule: ribosomal RNA, 213 nt
Filed under: uncultured bacterium
Lineage: Bacteria
Description: partial 16S ribosomal RNA
Rfam family: Bacterial small subunit ribosomal RNA
Source: RNAcentral
UACGUAGGGUGCAAGCGUUGUCCGGAAUUAUUGGGCGUAAAGAGCUCGUAGGCGGUCUGUCGCGUCUGCUGUGAAAACUCAGGGCUUAACCCUGAGCUUGCAGUGGGUACGGGCAGACUAGAGUGCGGUAGGGGAGACUGGAAUUCCUGGUGUAGCGGUGAAAUGCGCAGAUAUCAGGAGGAACACCGGUGGCGAAGGCGGGUCUCUGGGCCG